CCCCCCCUGCCCCAUGCGGACUACGCGCCUGGUCGUCAUGGUUUCAAGUAUACGGAAACGAAAAGCUUCAAGUCGUUUCGUUCGGUUGUGGCUUGUGCCACCGUGUGUGAAUAGACAUAUAACCUGAGACCAAUGUCCCUCAUCGUAGCACUACCUAACACAUCUGCUGUGACUUGCUACCACUGUACUUAACACCGUUGCCAUGCCAUGGUGUCUCAUACGGAAACCGAGAACCUCGGGAUAUUUCAAAUCAUUUUCGUUUGCCCGUUUUGUUUAUGUUCUUUUUUUAGUUCGUUGCCUCAACAGUACAAUGUACCACUUCAAAGAGGGUCGAACAUUUCAUUCGUUGUGGCUUGUGUCACCCUGUAAGAAUAAUCGUGUAUCCCGAGACCAAUGCACUUAACUUUAGUACCUUCAAUUUACACUGAUUUAUUACGUAAUAAGUUACUUGAGUUAUGACUGGAGUGCACCCAGCUCCUCUGGCAUGUCGAGCACUUCAUUAAAACUUUAAAAGUGCUUUGACAUUGAUUUCUGACAGUGUGAAUUGCCAGGUCACAUGCCGGGACAGAUGCAGCUGAUAUGCUUCAUUGCUGUAAGCUGAGUUUGGCUUCCUCCAAACCACCUGGCUGACCCUCAGCGGUUGGUUUGGCUGCUUCUCGAAGGCAGUCAUUAUUAAAUUAAUUUUGUUUGCA
This is a long non-coding RNA of Sycon ciliatum, 692 nucleotides long. RefSeq lists it as uncharacterized. The transcript has 2 exons. The record is from RefSeq and is a predicted model, not a curated record. NCBI's taxonomy places the organism in Eukaryota, Metazoa, Porifera, Calcarea, Leucosolenida, Sycettidae.